Molecule: long non-coding RNA, 210 nt
Filed under: Elaeis guineensis (African oil palm)
Lineage: Eukaryota; Viridiplantae; Streptophyta; Magnoliopsida; Arecales; Arecaceae
Description: long non-coding RNA (EGUI_LNC047946)
Source: RNAcentral
GGUAGCAUUUUUCCUAAUAGAAUCAAGGCUGGAAGUAUCCAAAAUAUAGGAGAUCUUUUCUUGUACAAGAAUAAUACGUAAGUUCCUCAUCUAGUCCACAAUGUUCAGAUCGAUCAACUUAUUAUUAUCUAGAAUGCUUCGCAAUGAGAGUGAAGAAGGCAUAAUGAAAUUAUUUACAUAACAAGAACAACAUACAAUCAGACAACUCAU